UCCGGCGUAGCUCAAUGGCAGAGCAUUCGACUGUUAAUCGAAGGGUUGUAGGUUCGAAUCCUACCGCCGGAGCCA
This 75-nucleotide transfer RNA is filed under the name Rhodospirillaceae bacterium. RNAcentral's name for it is "tRNA-Asn". It matches the Rfam family "tRNA". Rfam says of the family: Transfer RNA (tRNA) molecules are approximately 80 nucleotides in length. Their secondary structure includes four short double-helical elements and three loops (D, anti-codon, and T loops). Further hydrogen bonds mediate the characteristic L-shaped molecular structure. tRNAs have two regions of fundamental functional importance: the anti-codon, which is responsible for specific mRNA codon recognition, and the 3' end, to which the tRNAs corresponding amino acid is attached (by aminoacyl-tRNA synthetases). tRNAs cope with the degeneracy of the genetic code in two manners: having more than one tRNA (with a specific anti-codon) for a particular amino acid; and 'wobble' base-pairing, i.e. permitting non-standard base-pairing at the 3rd anti-codon position. The record is from RNAcentral. RNAcentral also lists the same sequence under 1 other name. Lineage: Bacteria; Pseudomonadati; Pseudomonadota; Alphaproteobacteria; Rhodospirillales; Rhodospirillaceae.